CCAAAGGCAUUUCUUUAUUUAUUUCUCUGCUUUAUUUUAAAUUCUUUUGAAAAAAAAAAUAUACCCUCGCUUUGAAAAACGGGGUGUUACAACUGGGAAGUUCAUUAUCAUCUGACAACAUAUCUUUUAAGAGUGUUAAUAAUUUUGUGAAGCUUUUAUCAGACCAUCCAUUACUCGCUUUUAAGUUGUACAACUUUAAUAUCGCCGACAAUCUUGUGAAUUUAGUACAACCAUUAUAUAAUGGUUUCUCUGCAUCACUCAGCAAACUCUCAAACAUUUAAGGACAAUCCUGAAGAUCUUCUUCAACUGCUUUUGCAAUCUCCUCAACUCGAUUCGGCUCAUAUGUAUUUGUGUCGAAAUCAGUUGAAGCAUAUGUCGAACCAUUCUCAAAAUUAAUGUUUCCUUUUUUUUUUCUCACCAUGUCUUAUCCAACAUGUAUAGCUUUGAUCAAUUCCAUGCCAUACUAAGUGUCCUUCCAAUUCAUCUUCUCUAACGCAUUUUCCAAAACAACAUUAUGUGAGGGCGCUUCAAUUUACCGCGCUUUUGAGAAAGCGUUGUAAAAGCCUUGUAAACAUUAUGUGUAAGCGCAGUGUGACCCUAUAUGACCCUAUAACAGUGUUUCUUCCACAACGCUUGUCAAAAAAGCAUUGUUGUAGCAUCCGUUAUUUUUACGUGUAUUACACAACAGCGCUUGUAUUUAUUAAGCGCUAUAAAAGGCGCACUAUAAAAUGUCAUUUUUGAUGUAGUGAAUUAAGUCCUUUGUUUUCUCCUAUUUUUAUAUUAAAAACGUCUCCAACUCAUUUUUUAUUCAAGGUCUAGAUUCAGCUCUCCCCUCGUGUCAUUUGAGAUCCAUUCCUCUCUUUUGCACCAGUAAAAUAAUAAUAAUAAUAAUAAUAAUAAUAAUAAUAAUAAUAAUAAUAAUAAUAAUAAUAAUAAUAAUAAUAAUAAAUGUUUUGAACACACUAGGCCAUUAGCUAUUUAUUGAUAAAUUUGGAGAAAGGGCAUAAUUUAUCUAUCAUGCCACAUAUAUGGUGCUCUGAACUUAUUCAUACAUUAUGUAAUAGAUAUUAAUAUGGUAAAAAUUAUUUAGAAAUGGAUGUGAGAAUUUAGAGAUUGUAAAUUUGUUGCUUCACAUCUGGGGGGCUAGUAGGUUCUGUGGGGCUAGUAGGUUUUGGAAUAAUAGGCCCUUGUUUAGUAGGUUUUGGAAUAGGCUGGUGGGGGAGCUGGGGGGUCUUGGUGGGCUGCGGCUUCUUGGGUGGGAGUAUGCGAACGGUUUUCCAAUUAUUAGCAAGCCCUUGUGGAACAAGUAUAAGAGCAGCAAGGAACAACAUUGGUAACAAAAAGGAAACCAUUUUCAUAACUUGUUUUAAUUUUGGUAUGUAACAUAUAGAGAAUGAACAAGUUUUAUACUAAUUCAAUAGAGUCAUUUAUUAUAACUCUUGAAAAUAUU
Molecule: long non-coding RNA, 1450 nt
Filed under: Cicer arietinum (chickpea)
Lineage: Eukaryota; Viridiplantae; Streptophyta; Magnoliopsida; Fabales; Fabaceae
Description: long non-coding RNA (CARI_LNC002707)
Source: RNAcentral